Molecule: ribosomal RNA, 305 nt
Filed under: uncultured bacterium
Lineage: Bacteria
Description: bacterial SSU rRNA
Rfam family: Bacterial small subunit ribosomal RNA
Source: RNAcentral
GAACCUACGGGGCGCAGCAGUGGGGGAUAUUGCACAAUGGGGGAAACCCUGAUACAGCGACGCCGCGUGAGUGAAGAAGUAUUUCGGUAUGUAAAGCUCUAUCAGCAGGGAAGAAAAUGACAGUACCUGACCAAGAAGCCCCGGCUAACUACGUGCCAGCAGCCGCGGUAAUACGUAGGUGGCGAGCGUUAUCCGGAAUGAUUGGGCGUAAAGGGUGCGUAGGCGGCCUGCUAAGUCUGGAGUGAAAGGUACCGGCUCAACCGGUACAGGCUCUGGACACUGGCGGGCUAGAGAGCAGGAGAGGG